AGAGAGAGACAUGCGCGCAUAUCAAUAAGCGGAGGAAAAGAAACUAACAAGGAUUCCCCUAGUAACGGCGAGUGAAGCGGGAAGAGCUCAAAUUUGAAUCUUAAAGGGUUUCCCUUUACGAAUUGUAGAUUUAAAGAAGUGUUUUCUGUUGAGGUUUUGGUAAAAGUUCUUUGGAAUAGGACAUCAUAGAGGGUGAGAAUCCCGUAUUUGACCUUUACUUUCAACUUUGUGAUACACUUUCAAAGAGUCGGAUUGUUUGGGAAUGCAGUCCAAAAUGGGUGGUAAAUUUCAUCUAAAGCUAAAUAUUGGCGAGAGACCGAUAGCGAACAAGUACCGUGAGGGAAAGAUGAAAAGAACUUUGAAAAGAGAGUUAAACAGUACGUGAAAUUGUCAAAAGGGAAGCGUUUGACACCAGUGUUGUUUUUCUGAAAAUCAAUUAAAGAACUGUUUAUGCUAAGCUGUUUAGACUUUAUCAGCUAAUCUGUUUAGUUUUGAGCUUUUCUUUAAUGCACUUUUCAGUUAACAAGUCAACAUCAAUUUCUUUUGCUGUAAAAAAGCUUGAGGAAGGUGGCUUGAGAUUCGUCUUAAGUGUUUAUAGCCUCUUGCCUAUGCAGUCGGAGAGAUUGAGGUCUGCAGCGUAGAUCCUUCGGGGCUAAAUGCAUUUGUGCUAAGUUAUAGCAUUUUAUAGACAACUUGUUGACUAUGAUUUGUCUUGUAGCUUACUCGCUUAUGUUAUUUUACCUACGCUUAGGAUGUUGACGCAUGAGAUAUACGC
RNAcentral lists this ribosomal RNA (775 nucleotides) under uncultured Neocallimastigales. RNAcentral describes it as "partial large subunit ribosomal RNA". It matches the Rfam family "Eukaryotic large subunit ribosomal RNA", at positions 23 to 647 of the family's 3401-position model. Lineage: Eukaryota; Fungi; Neocallimastigomycota; Neocallimastigomycetes; Neocallimastigales. The record is from RNAcentral.